UAUUUUUUUAGUAUAAUAGUACAGGUGACUUCCAAUCACCUAGUUUUGGUUUAAAUCCAAGAAAAAAUAG
RNAcentral lists this transfer RNA (70 nucleotides) under Amolops ricketti (Chinese sucker frog). RNAcentral's name for it is "tRNA-Gly". It matches the Rfam family "tRNA". From Rfam's summary of the family: Transfer RNA (tRNA) molecules are approximately 80 nucleotides in length. Their secondary structure includes four short double-helical elements and three loops (D, anti-codon, and T loops). Lineage: Eukaryota; Metazoa; Chordata; Amphibia; Anura; Ranidae. The record is from RNAcentral.